RNAcentral lists this small RNA (553 nucleotides) under Pongo abelii (Sumatran orangutan). RNAcentral describes it as "processed transcript". The record is from RNAcentral. Lineage: Eukaryota; Metazoa; Chordata; Mammalia; Primates; Hominidae.
UUAAGUUUAUCUACUUCAACCACAUGAAUCUCGCCGAGAAGAGCACAGUUCACAUGAGGAAAACGCCCAGUGUGUCGCUCACUUCCGUGCACCCAGAUUUAAUGAAGAUUCUCGGUGACAUCAACAGUGACUUUACCAGAGUGGAUGAAGAUGAGGAGAUUAUCGUGAAGGCCAUGAGUGACUACUGGGUUGUUGGAAAGAAGUCUGAUCGGCGGGAGCUCUAUGUUAUCUUGAAUCAAAAAAACGCAAACCUCAUUGAAGUAAAUGAAGAGGUCAAGAAACUUUGUGCAACGCAGUUCAACAACAUCUUCUUCUUGGAUUGACUGAUGAUGGCUCACCGAGAGCGUAUUUAAAAACACUCGGCAAACAUUUGGUCCUAUGCAAGUUAGUGGUCAUAUGACGGACUGCAUUCAGGACAAGGAUUACACCGGCCACCAGGUCCAUGACCCAGGCUGGUCUCGAACUCCCGUAAUCCAGCCAUGUAGGAAACCUGAGAUGCAGUGGGCCAGGGGGAAAUUAUAGCUUGUCCGGAAAGCACUUGGUCCUGAUGCAU